UACGUAGGGUGCGAGCGUUAAUCGGAAUUACUGGGCGUAAAGCGUGCGCAGGCGGUUUUGUAAGCCAGAUGUGAAAUCCCCGGGCUUAACCUGGGAAUGGCAUUUGGGACUGCAAGGCUUGAGUGCGGCAGAGGAGACUGGAAUUCCCGGUGUAGCAGUGAAAUGCGUAGAUAUCGUCAAGAACACCGAUAGUGAAGACAGCUUACUAGGCUUAUACUGACGCUGAGGCACGAAAGUGUGGGGAUCAAACAGG
This 253-nucleotide ribosomal RNA is filed under the name uncultured bacterium. RNAcentral describes it as "partial 16S ribosomal RNA". It matches the Rfam family "Bacterial small subunit ribosomal RNA", at positions 524 to 776 of the family's 1533-position model. The record is from RNAcentral.